Molecule: ribosomal RNA, 1453 nt
Filed under: metagenome
Description: bacterial SSU rRNA
Rfam family: Bacterial small subunit ribosomal RNA
Source: RNAcentral
AGAGUUUGAUCCCGGCUCAGAAUCAACGCUGGCGGCGCGCUUAACACAUGCAAGUCGAACGAGAAAGGGAGCAAUCCUGAGUAAAGUGGCGUACUGGUGAGUAACACGUGGAUAUCUACCUCUUGGUGGGGAAUAACCUGGGGAAACCUGGGCUAAUACCGCAUAAGUUCGUGAGAAGAAAGGCGCAAGUCGCCGAGAGAGGAGUCCGCGGUCGAUUAGGUAGUUGGCGGGGUAAGAGCCCACCAAGCCAAAGAUCGAUAGCCGGCCUGAGAGGGCACACGGCCACACUGGCACUGAAACACGGGCCAGACUCCUACGGGAGGCAGCAGUGGGGAAUCUUGCACAAUGGGGGAAACCCUGAUGCAGCGACGCCGCGUGAGCGAUGAAGCCCUUCGGGGUGUAAAGCUCUUUCGGCAGGAACGAUAAUGACGGUACCUGCAGAAGAAGCUGCGGCUAACUACGUGCCAGCAGCCGCGGUAAUACGUAGGCAGCAAGCGUUGUUCGGAAUUACUGGGCGUAAAGAGUGUGUAGGUGGUGUCGUAAGUUUGGUGUGAAAUCUCCCGGCUUAACUGGGAGGGUGCGCCGAAGACUGCGAUGCUGGAGUAUGGGAGAGGAAAGCGGAAUUCCUGGUGUAGCGGUGAAAUGCGUAGAUAUCAGGAGGAACACCUGCGGUGUAGACGGCUUUCUGGACCAUUACUGACACUGAGACACGAAAGCGUGGGUAGCAAACAGGAUUAGAUACCCUGGUAGUCCACGCCGUAAACGAUGAGUGCUAGCCGUCAGCAAGCUUGCUUGUUGGUGGCGCAGCUAACGCAUUAAGCACUCCGCCUGGGGAGUACGGUCGCAAGAUUAAAACUCAAAGGAAUUGACGGGGGCCCUCACAAGCGGUGGAGCAUGUGGUUUAAUUCGAAGCAACGCGAAGAACCUUACCAGCCCUUGACAUGCCGUGCUACUUCCAGAGAUGGAAGGUUCCCUUCGGGGACGCGGACACAGGUGCUGCAUGGCUGUCGUCAGCUCGUGUCGUGAGAUGUUGGGUUAAGUCCCGCAACGAGCGCAACCCUCGCCCUUAGUUGCCAUCAUUAAGUUGGGCACUCUAAGGGGACUGCCGGUGAUAAGCCGGAGGAAGGUGGGGAUGACGUCAAGUCCUCAUGGCCCUUACGGGCUGGGCUACACACGUGCUACAAUGGCGGCGACAAUGGGAUGCAAAGGCGCGAGCCCCAGCUAAUCUCAAAAAACCGUCUCAGUUCGGAUUGCACUCUGCAACUCGAGUGCAUGAAGUUGGAAUCGCUAGUAAUCGUGGAUCAGCACGCCACGGUGAAUACGUUCCCGGGCCUUGUACACACCGCCCGUCACACCAUGGGAGUUGGCUUUACCCGAAGGUGGUGCGCUAACCCGCAAGGGAGGCAGCCAACCACGGUAGGGUCAGCGACUGGGGUGAAGUCGUAACAAGGUA